GACGAACGCUGGCGGCGUGCUUAGCACAUGAAGUCGAACGGAAAGGCCCUGCUUUUGUGGGGUGCUCGAGUGGCGAACGGGUGAGUAACACGUGAGUAACCUGCCCUUGACUUUGGGAUAACUUCAGGAAACUGGGGCUAAUACCGGAUAGGAGCUCCUGCUGCAUGGUGGGGGUUGGAAAGUUUCGGCGGUUGGGGAUGGACUCGCGGCUUAUCAGCUUGUUGGUGGGGUAGUGGCUUACCAAGGCUUUGACGGGUAGCCGGCCUGAGAGGGUGACCGGCCACAUUGGGACUGAGAUACGGCCCAGACUCCUACGGGAGGCAGCAGUGGGGAAUAUUGCACAAUGGGCGGAAGCCUGAUGCAGCAACGCCGCGUGCGGGAUGACGGCCUUCGGGUUGUAAACCGCUUUCGCCUGUGACGAAGCGUGAGUGACGGUAAUGGGUAAAGAAGCACCGGCUAACUACGUG
This 467-nucleotide ribosomal RNA is filed under the name uncultured bacterium. Its description in RNAcentral is "partial 16S ribosomal RNA". It matches the Rfam family "Bacterial small subunit ribosomal RNA", at positions 28 to 507 of the family's 1533-position model. The record is from RNAcentral.